RNAcentral lists this ribosomal RNA (683 nucleotides) under Acinetobacter rhizosphaerae. RNAcentral describes it as "bacterial SSU rRNA". It matches the Rfam family "Bacterial small subunit ribosomal RNA", at positions 149 to 826 of the family's 1533-position model. The record is from RNAcentral. Lineage: Bacteria; Pseudomonadati; Pseudomonadota; Gammaproteobacteria; Moraxellales; Moraxellaceae.
UCUCGAAAGGGAUGCUAAUACCGCAUACGUCCUACGGGAGAAAGCAGGGGAUCUUCGGACCUUGCGCUAAUAGAUGAGCCUAAGUCGGAUUAGCUAGUUGGUGGGGUAAAGGCCUACCAAGGCGACGAUCUGUAGCGGGUCUGAGAGGAUGAUCCGCCACACUGGGACUGAGACACGGCCCAGACUCCUACGGGAGGCAGCAGUGGGGAAUAUUGGACAAUGGGCGCAAGCCUGAUCCAGCCAUGCCGCGUGUGUGAAGAAGGCCUUAUGGUUGUAAAGCACUUUAAGCGAGGAGGAGGCUACUUUAGAUAAUACCUAGAGAUAGUGGACGUUACUCGCAGAAUAAGCACCGGCUAACUCUGUGCCAGCAGCCGCGGUAAUACAGAGGGUGCAAGCGUUAAUCGGAUUUACUGGGCGUAAAGCGCGCGUAGGCGGCUAAUUAAGUCAAAUGUGAAAUCCCCGAGCUUAACUUGGGAAUUGCAUUCGAUACUGGUUAGCUAGAGUGUGGGAGAGGAUGGUAGAAUUCCAGGUGUAGCGGUGAAAUGCGUAGAGAUCUGGAGGAAUACCGAUGGCGAAGGCAGCCAUCUGGCCUAACACUGACGCUGAGGUGCGAAAGCAUGGGGAGCAAACAGGAUUAGAUACCCUGGUAGUCCAUGCCGUAAACGAUGUCUACUAGCCGUUGG